UACGUAGGUGGCAAGCGUUAUCCGGAUUUACUGGGUGUAAAGGGAGCGUAGACGGAUAAGCAAGUCUGAUGUGAAAAUCCGGGGCCCAACCCCGGAAUUGCAUUGGAAACUGCAUAUCUAGAGUGUCGGAGAGGCAAGUGGAAUUCCUGGUGUAGCGGUGAAAUGCGUAGAUGUCAGGAGGAACACCAGUGGCGAAGGCGGCUUGCUGGACGAUGACUGACGUUGAGGCUCGAAAGCGUGGGGAGCAAACAGG
This 253-nucleotide ribosomal RNA is filed under the name uncultured bacterium. RNAcentral's name for it is "partial 16S ribosomal RNA". It matches the Rfam family "Bacterial small subunit ribosomal RNA", at positions 524 to 776 of the family's 1533-position model. The record is from RNAcentral.